UUGCCAACCGCCGCGGUAACACCGUCAGCUCUAGUGGUAGCAGUUUUUAUUGGGCCUAUUCCGUCCGUAGCCGGUUUAUUAAGUCUCUGGUGUUAUCCUGUAGCUUAACUGUGGGAAUUGCUGGAGAUACUAGUAGACUUGAGAUCGGGAGAGGUUAGAGGUACUCCCAGGGAUGAGGUGAAAUUCUGUAAUCCUGGGAGGACCGCCUGUGGCGAAGGCGUCUAGCUGGAACGAUUCUGCCGGUGAGGGACGAAAGCUAGGGGCGCGAACCGGAUUAGAUACCCGGGUAGUCC
Molecule: ribosomal RNA, 293 nt
Filed under: uncultured prokaryote
Description: partial 16S ribosomal RNA
Rfam family: Archaeal small subunit ribosomal RNA
Source: RNAcentral